This 795-nucleotide ribosomal RNA is filed under the name Talaromyces muroii. RNAcentral describes it as "partial large subunit ribosomal RNA". It matches the Rfam family "Eukaryotic large subunit ribosomal RNA", at positions 147 to 960 of the family's 3401-position model. Lineage: Eukaryota; Fungi; Ascomycota; Eurotiomycetes; Eurotiales; Trichocomaceae. The record is from RNAcentral.
AAUUUGCAGAGGAUGCUUCGGGUGCGGUCCCCGUCUAAGUGCCCUGGAACGGGCCGUCAUAGAGGGUGAGAAUCCCGUCUGGGAUGGGCGGCCGCGCCCGUGUGAAGCUCCUUCGACGAGUCGAGUUGUUUGGGAAUGCAGCUCUAAGCGGGUGGUAAAUUUCAUCUAAAGCUAAAUACUGGCCGGAGACCGAUAGCGCACAAGUAGAGUGAUCGAAAGAUGAAAAGCACUUUGAAAAGAGAGUUAAACAGCACGUGAAAUUGUUGAAAGGGAAGCGUUGUCCACCAGACUCGCCCGGGGGGGUUCAGCCGGCACGUGUGCCGGUGUACUCCUCUCCGGGCGGGCCAGCAUCGGUUUGGGCGGCUGGUGAAAGGCCCCGGGAAUGUAACACCCUUCGGGGUGCCUUAUAGCCCGGGGUGCCAUACAGCCAGCCUGGACCGAGGCCCGCGCUUCGGCGAGGAUGCUGGCGUAAUGGUGGUCAACGGCCCGUCUUGAAACACGGACCAAGGAGUCUAACAUCUAUGCGAGUGUUCGGGUGUCAAACCCGUCCGCGCAGUGAAAGCGAACGGAGGUGGGAGCCCCUCGGGGCGCACCAUCGACCGAUCCUGAUGUCUUCGGAUGGAUUUGAGUAAGAGCAUAGCUGUUGGGACCCGAAAGAUGGUGAACUAUGCCUGAAUAGGGCGAAGCCAGAGGAAACUCUGGUGGAGGCUCGCAGCGGUUCUGACGUGCAAAUCGAUCGUCAAAUUUGGGUAUAGGGGCGAAAGACUAAUCGAACCAUCUGGUAGCUGGUCCUGC